Molecule: transfer RNA, 66 nt
Filed under: Sepioteuthis lessoniana
Lineage: Eukaryota; Metazoa; Mollusca; Cephalopoda; Myopsida; Loliginidae
Description: tRNA-Leu
Source: RNAcentral
ACAAAGUUGGCAGAAUAGAUGUGAAUAAUUUAGGAUUAUUUUAUAAGAUAGAAAUCUUACUUUGUA